UCCAUUGAUCCGACGUGGAGGUCCUCUUCAUGAGAUCGUCUGCCACACACUGAGGAGUCAAAUGCAAGGAGGUGUUUGGACCGGAGAGCACCUUGAUGGAUAAACAGUCAUCAGCAGGACCCACAGUUCAGGCAACAUCAAUGGAGCAGGCGACACCGAUUACUUCAUGAGCCCAGCCAGGGUCAUCUAUCACAGCUGCGGUCCCGUCACCGGCACCUACGGCAGAGGCAAGGGCUAUGGCACAGGACCAACCGCAGGACAGUCACGGAGUCAACCCACAAGUGAAAAGAAUCUGGAUUGUGAGUCACUCUUUCAUCCAUUGGACCUCUAUUCGUUGCUCCUCUCUAGUGGUCAGGCAGAACUUAGAGGCCCCUCUCAUAAGGCCUCUAUUAGGUGGUUAGGGAACAGGGGUAUGUGCUGGCCACAAUUAGCAGAGGUGAUCACUGAGGACCUCUUAACUUAAUAUCCUGAUUCUACACCUGGGGGCAAUGAUGUGGGGGGCAGUCCCGGUCCUCCAGUUAAAAAUAAUGCAGUCAGACAUUAAUUGGGCAAAGGUCCGCAUUCCCGGGAUCAUGCUAGGGUGGUCAAAUAGUGUCCCCCGUUUACACUGAAGGCAUAUGUCUGCUCAUACAGUGGCAUAUAGGGUAAGGAAAAAGAUUAAUGCCUCUUUAUCUAGGACAGUCACAGAGUCCAGUGGCUUCGUGGUACGUCACAAAGCCAUCACAGCUCACAGAACUGAGCUAUUUAAGAGGGAUAAAGUUCACCUAUCUGAUUUAGGACUUGAAAUACUCAGCGACAUCUCCUUUUGGAGCAGAGAACGCUCUGCUGCUA
Molecule: long non-coding RNA, 831 nt
Organism: Bombina bombina (fire-bellied toad)
Lineage: Eukaryota; Metazoa; Chordata; Amphibia; Anura; Bombinatoridae
Exons: 3
Source: RefSeq, a predicted model, not a curated record